Molecule: long non-coding RNA, 7165 nt
Organism: Bombus terrestris (buff-tailed bumblebee)
Lineage: Eukaryota; Metazoa; Arthropoda; Insecta; Hymenoptera; Apidae
Exons: 9
Source: RefSeq, a predicted model, not a curated record
UCAGUUCUCGAUAUUUCCUUUAGUUGCGUGUUAUUCUUCGUUACGUGCACACGUGUUAUAAUUGCCUAAAACUAUUAAACAACCCUUAUACCUAUUGUGUCAGUGAAAAGAAAAUUUAAUAUUGAUGAUAGUAGUGUGAAGUGUGUUAUUAUUGCGGACAGUGAUUCGGCAGACCCUUCUGAUAAUAAUAAUGAUGAUCUCACAGUACUCACUGAGGAUUAUUAUUUUUUAUUUGUAAACAAUUAUCGAUAACGACCCAAAAAUACAUUUGGAGUAAAGCGCCGCACAUCGGUGAUUCUUCAGAGGUACACUUGGAGUAGAGCGCCGCACAUCGGUGAUGCUUGAGAGGUACAUUUAGAGCGUUAAGGGUUAGAUUGACAGUAAAGUAUGAUUUUAUAAACAAUCUCGGCGAAGAAAUUGAAUAGCGCGUAAAUAGCGGAAAUAUUCUGUUACGAUCGAGAUUGUCGUAACAGCUGUGUUAUGAACGUGUUCGAAUGGCAAUAGGAAAAUGGACGAGUGUAUCCGUUUUCCCUUUAGGCUCGAGAUGGGAGGAUAUCUAAAUUGGAGGUUUAAGGAAUAAACUUCGAAGAAAAAUGUAGACGGCUUGCCGGAGAAUUUUUUUUGCGGCUAAUAAUAUAUCUACAUGUACGGACACUAGCAGACUAUAUUAUGGGCUGUUUUUUCCUGUACUGAUAUGCUUUAAGAGCGUAUUUGAGAACUGAUGGUCCGUAGAAAUCUGUUUUUUUUUUUAAGUAAGCAUUUAUUAAUAGAAUUCUUUUAAAUAAUUAAUAUUUUGAAUAUAAGAUUGAAUAGAAAUGUGGAUUGAAACGAGAAGAAUAUUCUUGUCCAAGUAUUUAUUUCAAGAAAUGUCAGAUUCAUGAAUCGACGUUUAAAAUUCGAGGGAAAGAUAGUCUAAAUCGAUUUAGAGCGAUCAGUGGUAGAAAUGUUUCGUUUUGUUUAAUGAAAAUAUACCUAUAUUUCUUUCUGCAAAAAUCGAAUCAUCUUCUCAUGCCCGCGUGGGAACAUAUUCAGGUAACAUGUUCGUGAAUAGUCCACGACAUUUUUCAAUUAAAUAUUUUUAUCCCUAAAAUAUCGAUGAAAGUAAUAGAUAUGUACCUGCAUCGUUACACUUGCAAAAUAUAUAAUACCGAAUUGCAAGACUUACUUAGAUCAGCCUGUAUAAUCGAAUAAAAGUUUACACACAUUUCUAAAUAAAAUUUCUAAAUAAAACUUCAGUAAUGUUUCCAAGAAGGGAAAAGAUUUGAAUGCACUUGUAUCGUAUUGGACACAGUAGCAAAGCCGAGGUGUACUGGCUGUUUCCCUUUAGCCAUAUAACAUUCGCACCACUGUUAUCACCGUAUUACAGGUUUUACGAAAUAACAGCUCAAGACUCGCGUAAUGCACGUGAACAUCGGCCCAACGGCCGACGAACGAUUCAAGGAGAACUAGUAUUUCAUUGAUAACUCACCCCGUGUCCCGACCUUUACGAUCACCACACUGUACGUACACUGUUGCACGCGCAUACCCGCCAGGCAACGUCCAAUGAUUUGUGUAUCGACAGUCGUCAGUAUUAAUGCCAUUUGUGUGCAAUUAUGUUAGUUAUUAUGUCAGACAACCUACCUUUCGCGGCUAGUUUCAACACGUUUUUAACAUUAUGGCAUUGCGACUUGAAAACGACACCAGAUACCCGAUAAAAUAGCUCGCGGCCAACAACACGAUUGCGUUGGGUUCCAGAUCGGAAUUAGAAGUUUGAUUUCCUUUUUCUAAAUCGCAACCAUUACUUCCACGUCUUAAAACAAGAAGACACGAUGUUUCCUUUUCCAUUUUGAGAAUUGAUCUUCAUAAAUUAGAGACAAAGAUGUUGAAAUCCAUGGAAUUCGACACAGUGGGGACACACCUUAACGUUACAUCGUAUCCAAUAAUCGAAUAUCAUCAUCGACAGCGGUACACUGGUAUUUAUACCAUUCACGUUUCCAUUUCAUCAUCACUUAAUUAUUGGAGUUACUUGAUCGUGCUUGCCAUGCCGGUUGAAAUAGUAUUGAGAAGUAACGCUAGAUAACGCGCCUCUAUUGAUUUGUCAGUUGGGAUAAUGGAUUUCAAUGCAUAACACAGAAUCCCAUGGAACGCGAGCGUGUGGUUGCCAGCCACAGAUUAAUACGGCUAUCGCGGAACGACAGGUAUUCCAUAUGUAUCUGGUAUUUCGUAAAUGUUAAUAUAACUUGAUCGUAUCCCGAUGCGAAUGUAAAUGUACUGGACAUGGUGCAGUCUCUUAACCCUUAAAUGCAUACUGUCUUUAUUUGGCAUAUUUAAAUGGCCUUUCUUAUAUAGGUAAUGUGUAAUACUUAUUGCAUGGUGUUUUCCAAUGUAUUUAUUACUAUUUUUAUACUAUUAAUAUGUUCAUAAUACAACAAGAAAUUUAAAAAGUAUCUACUUGUCUUGAUGCAAGGAAACUUGCGCUUUAUCAUAAAGGAAAGGAUAACAGUUAUAGUAAAAUUGCACAAGUAUUGGAAUUAAUUGCAGCAGAUCUUAGUAGAAGAUGCGAAGAAAAAUAUCUAGCGUGUAAUUAACAAUAGAGCUAACAAACUCGUCAAAAUGAUGGAUUUCAUAUUUUCUUUUUGUACAUUUUCUGAUGUAGGUAUUUUAGCUAAGUUUGAUAUUAGUUUUUGUUUACAUAGGAUCAGAAUUAUAUCGGUCUAUUUAGUUUAAUUAAUAUCAUUCAAAUUAUACUAAUUUAUAUAUAUGUAAAACACGUAGUGCAUAUUACAGACCGAUAAUUCUAAUGUUAAACGUUACUCUUAGGGAGAAAUUGUUUCCAUAUGUAUUUGUAAGCUACAACAAAUUUUGGGAAUAUUUAAUUUGAUCGUGUAUUCACCGUAUGUUAGUUUCUUCUCUCAAAUGUAUAAGAAUACCAAACAUAAAAUACAUGUUAAAAAUUAUUUUUUGUAUGACUUUGCAAUAUUGACAAUUUUCUGUAUUUUAUAUUUGAGAAGAGUCAUGCAUUUAAGGGUUCAAAUUUCUCAUAAAAUGUCAAUUUACCAAAUAAUCGGUUGCUGUAUGAUACAAUUUUGUGCGAUUGCGAUAUAAAGGAAUGGAGUUUUCGAUGAAUUCGACGCCGUUCAUUUCAACGAGUUAAAAAGGAAGCGAACGAGAUAACGCAACGCUGGGGAAUUACGUUAUAACAAGAUUAAUAGUUAACGGCUUUCUGAUCGCGAAACAUUCGAUUUGUAUUACAAAUGCGAGUUACACGAUCGGAAUGUCGAUUCCAUGAAGUUGUUUCAUUCUUGUCAACGAAGGGUUGGAUUGGGUAUCCGUUUUCGCUGUAAUGCGGAACAGGAAGGCAACAUUCUAAUUAUAGUAUUAAAUAUCCUGAGAUACGUAAAACGCUUUCGCAUAUCGCUCGAGUAUCGUAUCAAAUUAUACCUCACAAUUACUGUAUUAACGGUAAUUAAUUGUCUACGGCGGUUAUACGUUUAAUGGGGUACGUGACCAUCGUCUACGUCUUAUCCUCAUCCACUCGUGUGCAGGUUUUGCGUUAUAAACGCAUUAAAGCCUAUUGAAAUUACUGAAUGAAGUAAGUUAACGUAUCACAAGGAACAAGGAAGGAACGUAAUUUAAAGCUUGCACGUUGAUCAUUCACCUCCGCGUUUCAUCACAUUGAACUAUUCUUCAGUUGACAUAUUUGUGACUUUUCGGCUUUUCGUCGCGUUUUUAGUACAUCGUAUUUUCUUCUGAAAAUUCCAAUUCACUUCUUCAGUCUUCCCCGGUCCACCUGUAGAAUCACAAAUACAGCCGGGGAUAAAGAUAAAUUAUUUGGCAAAUAAUUGAAAUUGCGAGCGGUUUAUUCAGCAAGUAAUACAUGCAAUAGCGGUUUAUUCAGUAAAUAAUACAUGCAAUAGCGGUUUAUCCAGAAAAUAAUAAGCGAUACACGAGAUAUAAUUAACAAAGAAAACAAGGCCAAUACAACCUAGAACUUAAGCGUAACGUGUGACAGUAAUAUGCUGUUGAAGAACAUGCUCAGCCACCCAACUGGUUAUCAAAAAGGAAAUGACCAACUCAAUGAAAUACACCUUACAUCAGCGUUCGACUUCUUACCGCUAUUAUACUAUUUGUCAUAAACUAUUUAUUUACCGUAGAAACUACUUAUUAUACAUAUACAUAAAUCUAUUACGCGUCCGAUGGCUGAAAGUUUCUUUAGAGAAAUUAAUAUUUUUGUGUAAACAAGUCGUAUUUCACUUAGCCACGUCGAUAAUCUAUUUCUACUUAGUCUCCAACUGUAUGCCAUCCAGUCGUGAAAGUUUAAAGACACCUAAUUGUCGAUAUCUCAACUAUCUCACCGAUUUCGAUGAUCUUGGAAGAGAAUAUUUAUAGAAUUUGAAUAGAAUUUGAAUAGAAUAGUUGUAGAAAUUAACGUUUUGAACAACUUUUUCCUGUACACACAACCGCUGCUCGGCCUUAGUUUUCGAAAUGUUGCAAAAAGCAAUUGACGCUGCACUGAAUUCUGACAAAAUAUAUAUAACAAUACGUAAAAUAUCAUCUAUCCCACAUUUAAAAGAAGAUACGCUACUAAUGUGUGUAUCUGUGACAAUGAGUGACAACCACAAGCAUGGCCGACACGUUUGCCGCCUCGUUCAAUCUUCGUCUAUACAAACUCAAACAAAAGAUAAGAAUUAAGUUUGAGCUAGGCUUAGGGUUCUCAGACGAUUCCCUUAAUUCGAGGAUAGCACGAUGUUACAUUACCCCUUCUGACACUUUACAGCUACGUGGCUUGUGUGAGACGUGACAUGAAUUUCUUCUUACUCCUGUGCGUCGCAUCGACAACAUUGUCCCUCUCCCUACACUUGUCUACAGUAUGAGACCCGAUUUCAGUGGUCCACUAACUAUACUAUAUCCUCUACUACUGCAGAAUUUUUUUUCUUUAAUUUCCUCAAUCUGGUGACACUGGUUAGACGUUAGACAGUAAGACAAUUUAAACAGUAUCGAGGUAUACGCUAGCACGGACGCACAGCUAUAAGCAGAUCUCGCUGUAGUGGUACCGACAGUUUCUUGCGAAUAUUCCAAAAACUAAGGCCGAGCGGCGGUCUUAUGUAGAGAACAGUGCUGUUCAGAAAGUUUAUUUCCACGAGGUAUUAACAAAUAAUGGAAAUUGGUGAGGUGGGUGUAAGUAAGAUUGGCAUUUAUGAAACCAUUAGUCUAGGAUAAAGAGCAUCAAAAACCUGAAUCUUUCCGCCUGAGACCCGGACACUUUUGACUGCUUUUUUAGAUUAUGUACGAUAUCCUAAAUUGAAAGCUUCUGUGAAUUAUACACUGUAACUGAAUAGCACUACGUCUGCAUUCCGAUCGUUCCUAGAAGAACAAAUGCAUUGCUAUUCAGUAUAUUAACCAUAUUAGUAGAGAAGCCACGUAUACCAGAUCAUCGCACGCAACGCACACGUAGCGUGAUAACAUGAAUGAUCGGUGGAGUUUGAUCGUUUGGACAGCAAAUGAGCAUGGGAAACCCAGAUCUCUAGAGAAAAUCCCUGGACAUUUGCGGACGUCUUAAAAAUUAGAACAAAUUCUGGAAAUCGAUAUCUAACAAAUCAAAAUUUGGUAUUCCCUAGUUGGUCUUCAAUUACAUGAAAACAGCCAAGGCUUCUAGCAUUUAGACUAUACAUAGACGACUAUCCCUAGAGGACUAAUAGAAUACGCUUUCAAAAAAUAUACUUUUAUAUAGAAAUAUAGAUGCAAAAUAUAAUCACACACGUGUAUAUAUAUACCGAUGUAAUACAAACAGUAGGGUGGAUAUAAGAAAGAAACGUUACAUAAACAAUAAUAGUAGCAAUACUUUACAACGAUUAGGAGAUCGAUGUAAAAAUAUAAUAUGGUAUGUUACAAGAAAUUAAAAAAAGGAGAUCAACAACCUGCCUGUAAUAGAUAGGCCACGAGCUUAGUACAAAAUAAGUACGAAAUAAAAAAAUAAAUUAUUCGCGAGUCGACAACGAUCGUAGAGAAUAUAGGAGCAUCGUGGGUGAGCUGAAGCAAAUAGCGAAGUUCAUGGUUCGCACCCGUGCAGUAGAAUCCGAUAUGACGCACCGUGGAAACCCGAUGAUGCGGUACCGGAGGAAUUAAUCCGGGCAUGGUCGGAGCGGUAACUAUGCCGCGUGUGCGGCAUACCGGUAUCCCUUGCUGAGAGCGACUCCUCGUGUCGUGACUAUUCUCGCCCACACGUUUAUAAAUCCCCUCGCGGUCGAUUCUCCAUCCCCACAGCCGUUUUCUCUUCCCUUCACUAGACCUAUGCGAUACCAAGCUCGGACCCUACCUAGUCUUGCCUCUCGUUCUGCUUCUCGUUUCGCUGCCUCCUCUUCCUCAACCUCUCUUCUUCCCUCAGUUCGCUGCAUCUCUUGCGUCGAGCAUUCAUCCUAGUUAGAGCAUACCACUAGGCCCAUUAUAUCUCAACUGAUUUGAAUUUAACGGUUGCCAGACACCGGCAUUGUGCGUACGCCCGUCUCAUGCCUCCCGCUACUCGCUUCGGCAUUCUAUCAUCUCUUUCUCUCUCUUUCUUUCUCUCCCUAUCUUUCCUCGUCUUCUCCUCGUCUCGCAACGCCAAUCUCUACUGUUCGCACCCAUCUUCCUACGACCACCCAAUACAGUGAUCGAGCAGAUAAUUGCUAAGCAUAUAAUUUACCCUAUUUGACUUGGGGUGGUUUUCGAUGCCUGGUAGAUAAUCGUUUUGUUCUUUUUACACACUUUUGUAAGGUCUACACGCGCUUAAGUUUAUCGUUACAUGCUAUUUAACAAACGUGCUUAUGAACGCACCAAAGAGGUUGUUAGUGCUAUUAUUAGUACUGUUAUUAACUGUAACUUCAAUUUGUUUGCUGUUCCAUCCUAUUUAUUCUCUUUGCACAAAUUUAUAAGUAGGUUUUUAAGUUUAUCGUAGCAUACAUGGCUGCUAUUAUUAUUUACUGUUAUUAAUUGUAACUUGUAUCUGUUUACUGUACCAUUCUAUUUGUUCUUCUUGCUUACUUUUAUAAGUACAUCUUCAAGUUUAUCGUUGUACGUUAUUUAUCAUAGCGUAAGUAGUUACUGUAACUUAAAUAACUUGUAACUUAAAUUUAUUUGUUGCUUCGUCUUAUUCGUUGCUCUGCUGUUCAUUGUAACUUAACUCUCUCGAAGGUCUGUUAGGUUGUCA